AUGGUGAACGAGAUAAAUAAAAACAUGUUAAAAGGAAACGAAAAAAAGGGCUAUGCUUCUUUCUUCUAUGCAUUUUGGAGGUUUAGGGUUUGGCAGAGUUGAGUUGUCUUCUCCACCUAUCAUCAAUACUUGGCUUCUCCACCAUCGCUGAAAAAAUCUAACUAUCUCGAGACCAAAUACUCAGGUUCAAAUAUGCUUAUGCUUAGCCUAACUAGAAGAUUAUAGUUGACAUGGCUAUAGGCAUGAUCAAUUCAAGAGCUAUUUUGUGGGGGAUCAAAUGUUGAAUUUUAUCAAAUUUUUUUGUUCCUUGUUUUUUUUUUUUUUUAUUUAUUUAUAAUUAAUUUGUAACAUUUUUAUUUUUUGGGUUUUGUUGUUGU
Molecule: long non-coding RNA, 377 nt
Organism: Ziziphus jujuba (common jujube)
Lineage: Eukaryota; Viridiplantae; Streptophyta; Magnoliopsida; Rosales; Rhamnaceae
Exons: 3
Source: RefSeq, a predicted model, not a curated record